GACGAACGCUGGCGGCGUGCUUAACACAUGCAAGUCGUGCGGUAAGGCCCCUUUUGGGGGUACACGAGCGGCGAACGGGUGGGUAACACGUGAGUGACCUGCCUUCAACUUUGGGAUAAGCCUCGGAAAUGGGGUCUAAUACCGGAUAUGAUUCUGCGCUUCAUGGUGUGGGGUUGAAAGCCUUUUGGGGUGGUUGGGGAUGGGCUCGCGGCCUAUCAGCUUGUUGGUGGGUGAUGGCCUACCAAGGCGG
This 250-nucleotide ribosomal RNA is filed under the name uncultured Actinomycetes bacterium. Its description in RNAcentral is "uncultured actinobacterium partial 16S ribosomal RNA". It matches the Rfam family "Bacterial small subunit ribosomal RNA", at positions 28 to 276 of the family's 1533-position model. Lineage: Bacteria; Bacillati; Actinomycetota; Actinomycetes. The record is from RNAcentral.